CGGACGGGUGAGUAACACGUGGGUAACCUACCUAUAAGACUGGGACAACUUCGGGAAACCGGAGCUAAUACCGGAUAAGAUAUCGAACCGCAUGGUUCGAUAGUGAAAGAUGGUUUUGCUAUCACUUAUAGAUGGACCCGCGCCGUAUUAGCUAGUUGGUGAGGUAACGGCUCACCAAGGCAACGAUACGUAGCCGACCUGAGAGGGUGAUCGGCCACACUGGAACUGAGACACGGUCCAGACUCCUACGGAGGCAGCAGCA
This 262-nucleotide ribosomal RNA is filed under the name uncultured Staphylococcus sp. RNAcentral describes it as "partial 16S ribosomal RNA". It matches the Rfam family "Bacterial small subunit ribosomal RNA", at positions 99 to 355 of the family's 1533-position model. Lineage: Bacteria; Bacillati; Bacillota; Bacilli; Caryophanales; Staphylococcaceae. The record is from RNAcentral.